Molecule: ribosomal RNA, 187 nt
Filed under: Dehalococcoidia bacterium
Lineage: Bacteria; Bacillati; Chloroflexota; Dehalococcoidia
Description: partial 16S ribosomal RNA
Rfam family: Bacterial small subunit ribosomal RNA
Source: RNAcentral
AUCAGCAUGCCACGGUGAAUACGUUCCCGGGCCUUGUACACACCGCCCGUCACACCAUGAAAGCCGAUUGUACCAGAAGUCGAGAUGCCAACCCUCAGGGAGGCUACCGCCUAAGGUAUGGUUGGUGAUCGGGGUGAAGUCGUAACAAGGUAGCCGUAGGGGAACCUGCGGCUGGAUCACCUCCUUU